RNAcentral lists this ribosomal RNA (460 nucleotides) under uncultured bacterium. RNAcentral describes it as "partial 16S ribosomal RNA". It matches the Rfam family "Bacterial small subunit ribosomal RNA", at positions 338 to 795 of the family's 1533-position model. The record is from RNAcentral.
CCUACGGGAGGCAGCAGUGAGGAAUAUUGGUCAAUGGGCGGAAGCCUGAACCAGCCAAGUAGCGUGCAGGAUGACGGCCCUACGGGUUGUAAACUGCUUUUAUACGGGAAUAACGCGCGUUACGUGUUGUGCUUUGCAUGUACCGUAUGAAUAAGGAACGGCUAAUUCCGUGCCAGCAGCCGCGGUAAUACGGAGGGUCCGGGCGUUAUCCGGAUUUAUUGGGUUUAAAGGGAGCGUAGGCGGCAUGUCAAGCGUGCCGUGAAAUGGCCGGGCUCAACCCUGGCCUUGCGGCGGGAACUGGCUGGCUUGAGUCCGCGGAAGGCAUGCGGAAUUCGUGGUGUAGCGGUGAAAUGCUUAGAUAUGACGAAGAACCCCGAUUGCGAAGGCAGCAUGCUGCAGCGGAACUGACGCUGAGGCUCGAAAGCGCGGGUAUCGAACAGGAUUAGAUACCCGGGUAGUC